Gasterosteus aculeatus aculeatus (three-spined stickleback) is the source of this 2481-nucleotide long non-coding RNA. Lineage: Eukaryota; Metazoa; Chordata; Actinopteri; Perciformes; Gasterosteidae. The record is from Ensembl.
AACAGAUCUAACGAAAGUCUAUGGAUGAAGAAUGCAGUCGCAUGAAGAGAAGCACAGCUUUGUCGCCCAGCCGAAGAGGUUCGAGGUCGUAGCAGAAGAAAAGUCUGCACACUCGCCCCUUUUUCCACCUAACAGGAAAUAAGGUGGGGCAAGGAAGGCUUCAAAUUGGGCGGGUACAAUAUUCUACUGACAGAGGCUGCAUGGCAGAGAGAGAGAGGAGCGAAAUGAAGCAAAUGAGACUAAAGAGAUUUCUAGUUUCUCUACCGUGGAUGUGCCAUAAGGGAGCAGUGAAUAAGGAGUGAGGUCGGUGGAACCAGGUAUAUGGGUGGAGGUUGUCCGAUCUCUGGAGGAGGUGGCAGGAGAAGAGACUUCUGCGUUACUCUCUCUGACCGACCUGGAACACACACACACACACACACACACACACACACACACACACACACACACACACACACACACACACACACACACACACACACACCUGUCCACGCCGUAUACUCUCUCUCAUACACUCCAAUUGACAAUAUCUGGCCUCCUCACUUGAGACCUUCCCUUAAGGGACUUUUCACUUGAUUAUUUGGGCCCAGAAGAUGUGUUUAUAUUAAAUUGCUGAACAUUUUUGUGGGUAUUUCUGAGUCGAGUGAACUUUAUGUUUUGAGUUUUUUUUGGUUCAAGUACAGCUGUUUUUAAUGAUUGAAUUGGCUUCCUUGUUCAGUCUUUGUUCCAGACUUAUGUUAGAUUUUAUCCAACCCAAUGUUACCCAACUGCUCGGGUUAAUCGUUACUCAUUGUUCGAAGGAUAAUUCUCUAAAUGUGACAGGAUACAAAGUAUAUUAUUAUCCUUUUGGAUUUAAGAGGAUAACCUAUACUACAAGGUGAUUAGUAUGAGUGUAGUCCUCUGUGACCUACUCAGAUCGCAUUAUGAUAGCGAACACGGUGAGAAGGUCAGACACUGUCCUCUCGGUAACAAAGUGGCGUCCGGCACCAUCUCAGCUGCUCACAUUUGGAUAUUACAGGAAACAGCGAGGAACAUGCUGAUGAGGGAAGGACCGUGUACACAAAGCGCAUGCAUCUAACUCUCCACGGAAGCUUAUGUUUGGUAUUUGAGAUGACCUUCGAACCUGUUUACACGCCAGUCAGUAUAGUCAUACAGAUACCAAUGGCCACGCAUUAUGGCUCUCAAAGCAGACGUUAUCUUGUGCUGUUUGGAAUGUAUGAAACAAUCAUUCGUAUUUUAAUUUGUUAGUCGUAUCUGUUGUGCUUAUGAGAAGGUAAAAGCCAAACUCAUCUUGUACAUUCAAAUCUAGUCUUGCAGUUUUAUUCCAUGAGUUGUCUAGAAUGUAGUGUCAAGGUUGCAAAAUUGAAAUGAUCUCUCUGACAAUUUGUUUUCCUUGUCUGAUUUUGGGAUUAAUUAUUAGGCUAAAAACAUACUGAAACCAGUCUGCUCCUUGCCCUUCCUGCUUGUUGCCCUACGAAUACCCUUUAUGUUUACUCAGCACCUCCAGCUUUGGAGUAAAACGAGAGCUCUGACUCACCUUAACCACUUCACUCUGUUCAGGUAAGGAUGAACUCAAACCUUGUUUAAUUAGUUUCUCUGGGACUCUAUUUUGAUUGUGAAACCAGGCUCCGUAUGUUUGGGCAAAUAUAAAAUGUCUGUCCAAGGGACCUGUGGGCUGGUGAAAGGAGUUUAUAUUUGUCUGUCUGUCGGUGAUGUACUGAGAAAUAAAAGGUUGCGGAGCAGCUUGCAUGUGGGGAACUGUAUUGAACAACCGUCCAACCAUCAUCUGUACACGAUAAUUCCUCCCUGAUUUGAAUGUCUUCCAAGCUCUCUUGAGAUGAGAGGCAAUUUUAAAUAGUGUUUUGACUAUUUUUUUAUCAAAACACAAUUUGGUGACUAAAUGAGUAAACAUUGUCUGAUUUCAUGUGGUUUCUCCGUUCACUGGUUAUCCCGUCGUAUUGCAUUGAUUUGUGGUUAAAGAGCGCAUCUAAUGGUUAUUCACAGAAAGGGCUCCAUACAGGCUCCAUACAGGCUUUUCCCAUGUUUUUUUUUAAAUUCAGGUUUGUGUUCCUUUCUUUUAUUUUGAAGUUAACUCCUAAUGUGUCUUGUUAUGGGCCUUUUGUUCAUUAAUCUGCUUUGUGAUUGUCUGCCCCGCCCUCAUUAGGUUCACCUCUCUAGUCAGACGUGCUCUUGUUCACCUGUUCACCUCACUUUCUCGUUUCUCAGUCUGUGUUUAUACCACGAAAGGUCCUUUUUAUUUGUUGUUUUGUCUUCAGUUGUAUUUGGGGAUAUAGUCUGACUUUGUGUUCAACUGCUGUUCCGUGCCUGUCUUGCAGACAAUAGCAAGUCCAAAUUUUGGAAUCAAGCUAUUGAAUUGGUUCUGGUGCUUACUCAUCUACUGUAUGUCGUCAUUUGGGACCAUCCCCAUACCAUCACAGCUUUAGCCACCUGUAAAUCACAGUUUGAGCUACAUGUCAAAAUGGC